Molecule: ribosomal RNA, 1328 nt
Rfam family: Eukaryotic large subunit ribosomal RNA
AAGCAUAUUAAUAAGCGGAGGAAAAGAAACUAACAAGGAUUCCCCUAGUAACGGCGAGUGAAGCGGGAAGAGCUCAAGCUUAAAAUCUCCGUGCAAGUUUUGUGCGGCGAAUUGUAGUCUAUAGAAGCGUGGUCAGCAUGGGCACUUGGGGCAAGUUCCUUGGAAGAGGACAGCAUGGAGGGUGAUACUCCCGUUCAUUUCUGAGUUGCUCGUGCGUACGACCCGUUUUCUUUGAGUCGCGUUGUUUGGGAAUGCAGCGCAAAGUAGGUGGUAAAUUCCAUCUAAAGCUAAAUAUUGGUGCGAGACCGAUAGCGAACAAGUACCGUGAGGGAAAGAUGAAAAGAACUUUGAAAAGAGAGUUAAAGAGUACCUGAAACUGCUGAAAGGGAACCGAAUCGUUUCCAGUGUCUAUAAUCCGUGGUAUAUUUCAUUGGCGAGUGUGUGCGUGCGUGUGCUGUGGCAGCGGCUUUUUUGGCUGCGCUCGGCGUGUGUGCUGUGUGUGCUUGCUGGUGCUCUGUGCUGCGGUGGGACGUCAAGGUCAGUUCGUAUGCUGCGGGAAAUGGCUGCCGAGGAGGUAGGGCUUACGCUUGCGUUUGUCUGUUAUAUCUUGGUGGACGAGUAGUCGCGGUUGGGACUGAGGUGCCUACAACGUGCUUUUGAGUGGGUUUGUGUCUCCGUGUACGCCGUGUGCGGAUAGCUUGCUAUGCGUGUGUGGUUGUGUGUGGAUUGAUGCGAGCUUUAACUUGUUGCCGUUCGGGACGUUGACGAAAUGGAGCGAUUCGACCCGUCUUGAAACACGGACCAAGGAGUCUAACAUGUGUGCAAGUGUUAGGGUGUGGAAACCCCAGCGCGAAAUGAAAGUGAAGGGCAGCGUAAGUUGUCUGAGGUAGGAAAUGCUGCGGGCUUCGGUCUGCGGUGUGGCACUAUCGACCGAUCAUGAACCUUCGUGGUGAAAGAUUUGAGUUUGAGCACAUAUGUUGGUACCCGAAAGAUGGUGAACUAUGCCUGAGUAGGGUGAAGCCAGGGGAAACUCUGGUGGAAGCUCGUAGCGAUUCUGACGUGCAAAUCGAUCGUCAAACUUGGGUAUAGGGGCGAAAGACUAAUCGAACCAUCUAGUAGCUGGUUCCCUCCGAAAUUUCCCUCAGGAUAGCAGCAACUUAUUUACGAUAGUUUUAUGAGGUAAAGCGAAUGAUUAGAGGAUUCGGGGAAGAAACUUCCUCGACCUAUUCUCAAACUUUAAAUCUGUAAGACCUGCAGGUUUCUUAAUUGAACUUGUGGAUGUGAAUAUCAAGUUGCUAGUGGGCCAUACGGGGUAAGCUCGUCUGGCG